RNAcentral lists this ribosomal RNA (549 nucleotides) under uncultured Glomeromycotina. Its description in RNAcentral is "SSU rRNA". It matches the Rfam family "Eukaryotic small subunit ribosomal RNA", at positions 548 to 1098 of the family's 1831-position model. Lineage: Eukaryota; Fungi; Glomeromycota. The record is from RNAcentral.
UUGGAGGGCAAGUCUGGUGCCAGCAGCCGCGGUAAUUCCAGCUCCAAUAGCGUAUAUUAAAGUUGCUGCAGUUAAAAAGCUCGUAGUUGAAUUUCGGGACUAUCAUGUCGGUCGUGCCUCGGUACGUACUGGUAUUGUUGGUUUCUCCCUUCUGACGAACCAUGAUGUCAUUUAUUUGGUGUUGUGGGGAAUCAGGACCGUUACUUUGAAAAAAUUAGAGUGUUUAAAGCAGGCUCACGCUUGAAUACAUUAGCAUGGAAUAAUGAAAUAGGACGCUUGAUUCUAUUUUGUUGGUUUCUAGGAUCGACGUAAUGAUUAAUAGGGAUAGUCGGGGGCAUUAGUAUUCAAUUGUCAGAGGUGAAAUUCUUGGAUUUAUUGAAGACUAACUACUGCGAAAGCAUUUGCCAAGGAUGUUUUCAUUAAUCAAGAACGAAAGUUAGGGGAUCGAAGACGAUCAGAUACCGUCGUAGUCUUAACCAUAAACUAUGCCGACUAGGGAUCGGAUGAUGUUAAUUUUUUAAUGACUCAUUCGGCGCCUUACCGGGAAAC